CAGUAGCCACGGGAAUACGGAGGGUGCAAGCGUUAAUCGGAAUUACUGGGCGUAAAGCGCACGCAGGCGGUUUGUUAAGACAGAUGUGAAAUCCCGAGGCUCAACCUCGGAACUGCCUUUGAUACUGGUGAUCUUGAGUUCGGAAGAGGUUGGUGGAACAGCUAGUGUAGAGGUGAAAUUCGUAGAUAUUAGCUAGAACACCAGUGGCGAAGGCGGCCAACUGGUCCGAUACUGACGCUGAGGUGCGAAAGCGUGGGGAGCAAACAGGAUUAGAGACCCCCGUAGUCCCUGUCUCUUAUAC
Molecule: ribosomal RNA, 301 nt
Filed under: uncultured bacterium
Lineage: Bacteria
Description: partial 16S ribosomal RNA
Rfam family: Bacterial small subunit ribosomal RNA
Source: RNAcentral